Girardinichthys multiradiatus is the source of this 3097-nucleotide long non-coding RNA. RefSeq lists it as uncharacterized. The record is from RefSeq and is a predicted model, not a curated record. The transcript is spliced from 3 exons. Lineage: Eukaryota; Metazoa; Chordata; Actinopteri; Cyprinodontiformes; Goodeidae.
ACUGCAAUGAAAUGUUUUGAAGAACUGCACAAAAAAAAAAAAAAAAAGAUCUGAGCGCUACAAUUUCUGGAUUCUGUCUGAUUUUUUUUCAUCACAAACCAACACUUGGUGUCAGGAGUGGGAUGCGACGCCGAUGUCCAGAUAAGCGCUAAUUACGGGUCCAAAGCAGCAGACAAAAAGCCUCAAAGUGGCAGAAGCAGCGCCAGUGGAGGAGGCAGAGCAGGAAGGAGCUACAGGUCGGUCCAGUGAUGAAACAGCAUCUGUGGACAUGAGCAACAUUGCUGGCAUGCAGGAAAUAUGUCUUCAGUUCCAGAGUGACUUUGUUGAAAGAUGGGACAAAGAAAAGAGUAAGCAAGAAAGGAGAUGGCACCAGAUACAAGUUGAAGUUGGCAAUCUGAGAGAUGGUCUGGGGAGGCAGCAGAAGACUGAAGAUGAAGCUCAAACCGGCCCUUCUUCAGAAGCAGAUGUAGAGCCAGCUUCUCGGCGUCAUUCUAGAGUUCUUUGUCACCAGAGCUGAGAAUAUGGGUCAAAGAGAGGAACCCAGCAUCGGCACAAGAAGCAGCAAAACUUGUUGAAAACUUCUUAGCUGCAAGACGGGGACCACAAAUCUUCUGGUACAACUUCAACAGAAGGCCAGCUUAAUGCAGGUUCCGCAGGUGUCCACUGGCAUCUCUCCAUUUGAACUUAUGUAUGGCAGGUAGCUGACGGGUCCUCUGGAUGUUCUUCAAGAGUCCUGGGUUGGCACGAGGGAUCAGUCAACCAAUGUCAUCAGCUACAUUUUAAAUAUGAGACAGAAGAUGGAGGAGACAACCAACCUCAUCAGAAGGCACCUGGAGAAGGUUCAAUAGCAGCAACAGACCUGGUAUGAUAAAACGGCCAGGUGCAGAUCCUUCAAACCGGUCAGAUGGUUCUUUUAUUACUUCCAACAUCUGACAAUAAACUUUUAGCAAAAUGGCAGGGGCCAUACACUGUUGUAAAGAAGUUAAGUGCUACCACUUAUGAGAUUGAGAUGCCUGAGAGAAGGAAACCAAAGCAAACCUUUCAUAUCAAUCUGCUUAAGGAGUGGAAAUCCUGGGCUCUGCCCCUUAGUCAGCAGUGCUUUGUGUGUGCUGUGGAACAGGAUGAUGAGGCUGAGAUGCCAUCUGUAAAAUACUCUGUUAUUUCACUUGACCUCUCUCAUCUCACCCUCACCCUGCAACAGGAGUUGGAGGCCAUUAUUCCUUCAGAUCUCUUCAAAGAACAACCAGGUUCAACAGUCUGAAGACCAGUGUCCCCAUUAGGCAACGAAUGUAUCGUAUCCCAGAGAGGAUGUCUCCUGUGUUGAAGGAGGAAAUUGAGGUCAUGUUGAAGCUUGGCGUGAUUGAACCAUCCACCAGUGAAUGGAGAAACCCGGUGGUUUUGGUAAUCAAGAAGGAUGGAGCAUCUGUUUCUUGACUUUAGAAAGGUAAAUGCUCAAUCAGACUUUGAUGCCUACCCGUUACCAAGGUUGGAUGAUCUCAAUGAAUGUGUUGGUCAGGCUAAAUAUAUAAGUACCUUAGAUCUUUGCAAGGGAUAUUGGCAGGUUCCUCUAACAGAUGCUGCUAAGCCAGUCACUGCCUUCAGGACCCCGCAGGGAUUAUGGCAGUUUACAAAGAUGCCUUUUGGACUUCAUGGUGCACCUGCCACAUUUCAAAGACUGAUGAAUAAGGUACAGUCAGGUAUGGAGUCAUUUACUGCAGCUUACCUUGACAAUAUUGUCAUUUACAGCAACUCAUGGCAAGAACAUCUAAUUCAUCUGAGACGGGUGCUGCAGACCAUCAAGCAAGCCGGCCUGACUAUUCAUCCCAAGAAAUGUUCAUUGACAAAGAAGGAGCUCCAAUAUUUAGGCCAUAUCCUGGGUGGAGGAGUCAUAAAGCCAGUGAAAGACAAGGUGGAGGCAAUCAAGGCAGCAGAAAGACCAACAACCAGGAGGCAAGUCAGGUCCUUUUUGGGCCUGGUAGGUUGGUAUUGUCAAUUUAUCAGGACAUUUUCUGCUAGAGCCGCUCCUCUUUCUGACAUUACUGGAAUAUCAAAAGCAAAAAUUGUGUGGGGAGAAGCAUAGGAGAGGGCCUUCCAGGAUUUGAAGCAGGCACUGUGUCAAGAGCCUGUACUGCAGAGCCCAAACUUCACUUUACCCUUCAUCGUUCAGACUGAUGCAUCUGCCAGGGGAAUUGGUGGGGUUCUUUUGCAGGGAGAAACAGAGAAGAAACCAGUCGCCUACAUUAGUAGGAAGUUGUUUCCGCAAGAAACCAGAUAUUCCGUGGUGGAACUGGAGUGUCUGGGUAUCAAAUGAACGAUUGACUCUCUUAGAUAUUAUCUUUUGGGGCGAGAGUUCACUCUGGAGACUGACCAUCGGGCACUGAAAUGGUUGGAAGCCAUGAAAGACAUAGUCACAUAACACGAUGAUUUCUGUCUCUUCAACCUUACCGGUUUAAGAUGGGCUACAUUCCAGGAAAAGAGAACCCAGCCGCAGACUUUUUGUCUUGCUGUGAACCACAGCGAGUCUCCUGAAGGGGAGGCAAGUGUGAGGGAUUUACCACCUCCCUAACAGGUGCUGUUUUUUGUUCUUCUAAUAUCCUCAUUUAGUUGGUAAAUGUAUUGCUUUGUUGGGAGGAAGUAAUUUGCUUUAUUUAAUAUUUUGUUUUAAUAAUUCCCUCUUCUCUUUGAGGUCACCUGGUCUUGUGUUGCCAUGGAAGUGUGCCCAUGAGCAGGGCUGACAAGGGCCUGGUGUUUUCAAUCAGCCUCACUGGAAAAUCCAUUGUUUGAGAGAGAGGGGAGAUGUUUUCUAGAUUUUGAUUGGCCCCAGAUUGUUUUUGUUUUAGUUUUCAAGUUGUUAGUUGUAAUUAUGUAAAUAUUUUUCUAGGAAUAUAGUUUAGUACAAAUGUUUUUCUAUAUGGAAAUGGAAAUGUUGUCUCCACCCCUGAAUUAGUCCAGGUAGGAGCCAAUGCUUUAAAAGCCAGGUGGUUUAGAUCAGGGGGAGUCUCUCACUCCUGUUGUUGGUAUGUAUGUCAUGCUGUGAACUGGAAUGAAAUGUUUUGAAGAACUGCAUAUAAAAAAAAAAAAGAUCAGAGUGCUACAA